GUUGGGUACAACAGCACAUGCCUAUAGUCUCAGCUACAUGGGGGACUGAGGCAGGAGGAUCACUUGAGCCCAAGAGCUCAAGGCCAGCCUAAACAACAUAGUCAGACCCUGUCUCUA
RNAcentral lists this small RNA (117 nucleotides) under Marmota monax (woodchuck). Lineage: Eukaryota; Metazoa; Chordata; Mammalia; Rodentia; Sciuridae. The record is from RNAcentral.